UCCGGGCUGGGAAUCUGCAGCCCCCGGGGUGAAAUGCACCGCCUUGUGACCUGGGCCAAGCUUGCUUCCACGUGUGCCUUCGAGCCAGACGUGGCUGUGGCGCGGCCGGACGUUUCUCCUCACCCUCCCCACCAGGUUGCAGGAAACACACACGCAAUCGUUUUACACACAGGACGGACGGUCAAGUGCGUGUGGUCCUCGUCAUCACCCAUAAGACCGUCUGCUGGCAUCAGGCAAGCAGGAUCACAACACCUCACUUUUCCAGUGAAAUAAUCCAUUCAUCAAGGAGAAAUUGAAUCGGAAAGAUGAAGAAAAUGAGGCAGCAAGGCACUGCUCCGAGUUUAAGAAAUGGAAGCUGAGUAGCCAGAUCAAGGAAAUGAGGCAGCAGUGAUUUGAGGCCUCUCACUGUUGUGGCCUCUCCUGUUGCGGAGCACAGGCUCCGGAAGCGCAGGCUCAGCGGCCAUGUCUCACGGGCCCAGCCGCUCCGCGGCAUGUGGGAUCUUCCGGACCGGGGCAUGAACCCGUGUCCCCUGCAUCGGCAGGCGGACUCUCAACC
This is a long non-coding RNA of Globicephala melas (long-finned pilot whale), 556 nucleotides long. RefSeq lists it as uncharacterized. The record is from RefSeq and is a predicted model, not a curated record. NCBI's taxonomy places the organism in Eukaryota, Metazoa, Chordata, Mammalia, Artiodactyla, Delphinidae.